This 328-nucleotide unclassified non-coding RNA is filed under the name soil metagenome. RNAcentral describes it as "partial contains 5.8S ribosomal RNA, internal transcribed spacer 2, and large subunit ribosomal RNA". The stretch from base 1 to 120 matches the Rfam family "5.8S ribosomal RNA", at positions 35 to 154 of the family's 154-position model. The record is from RNAcentral.
GAUGAAGAACGCAGCGAAAUGCGAUAAGUAAUGUGAAUUGCAGAAUUCAGUGAAUCAUCGAAUCUUUGAACGCACAUUGCGCCCCUUGGUAUUCCGAGGGGCAUGCCUGUUCGAGCGUCAUUAUAACCCCUCAAGCUCAGCUUGGUGUUGGGGCCUGCUGCACUGGCAGCCCUUAAAAUCAGUGGCGGCGCCAUCUGGCUCUAAGCGUAGUAAUUCUUCUCGCUAUGGAGUCCUGGUGGAUGCUUGCCAUCAACCCCCAAUUUUUCUAUGGUUGACCUCGGAUCAGGUAGGGAUACCCGCUGAACUUAAGCAUAUAAUAAGCGGAGGA